CAAAAUUUCAUGUAGCUUCUUCAUGAUGCUUUGCAUCUCUAUAUUCAUGCACCAUGUGCUUAUUUUUCAAGCUGUUAUACCUGAUAACAGUAUGCAUGGGUGGUAUUGGUUCUUUUAACUUGCCAGCUUGCUGCAAUGAAUAUGCUUAUAUUUUGUGCCACAGGGCCAGUAUAGGUCCAAUGGGUCAAAUCAAGGAGCAACACAAAGAGCUUCAGCUUUGGCGGCCUUGAACUCUGCAUUUAAUUCAUCCUCUGGACCCAAAGUUACAGCUUCAAGGACAUCUGGACCUAGUCAGGGAUCACAAAGAGCUGCUGCUGUAGCUGCUCUAUCAUCAGUUCUUGCUGCUGAAAAGAAGAAAACACCUGAAACCUCUCCUUCCCGCAGUCCUCCCCCAGAAACUAACCUUUCUGCUGAAGGGAAGAGUGAAAAUUCACUUUC
This 438-nucleotide unclassified non-coding RNA is filed under the name Hevea brasiliensis (rubber tree). The record is from RNAcentral. Lineage: Eukaryota; Viridiplantae; Streptophyta; Magnoliopsida; Malpighiales; Euphorbiaceae.